AUCCUGGCUCAGAACGAACGCUGGCGGCGCGUUUUAAGCAUGCAAGUCGAACGGUAGAGUGGACUUCGGUCCAUUUGAGAGUGGCGGACGGGUGAGUAACACGUAGGUAAUCUAGCUUGGGGAUGGGGAUAGCCCAUGGAAACAUGGGGUAAUACCGGAUACGCCUGAUUAGUCUAAGGAGUAGUCAGGGAAAGGCGCGGAUGCGCCGCCCUGGGAUGAGCCUGCGGCUUAUUAGUUAGUUGGUAGGGUAAGAGCCUACCAAGGCGACGAUAAGUAGCCGGCCUGAGAGGGUGGACGGCCACACUGGGACUGAGAUACGGCCCAGACUCCUACGGGAGGCAGCAGCUAAGAAUCUUCCGCAAUGGGCGCAAGCCUGACGGAGCGACGCCGCGUGGGUGAUGAAGGCCUAACGGUUGUAAAGCCCUUUUCUUGCCGAGGAAUAAGGUCGUGAGGAAAUGCGCGAUUGAUGACGGUAAGCAAGGAAUAAGCCCCGGCCAAUUACGUGCCAGCAGCCGCGGUAACACGUAUGGGGCGAGCGUUGUUCGGAAUUAUUGGGCGUAAAGGGCACGUAGGCGGUUAACUAAGCUCGGUGUGAAAGGUCACGGCUCAACCGUGGGAACGCGCUGGGAACUGGUUGACUGGAGUUCAGGCGGGGAAGCUGGAAUUCCUGGUGUAGGGGUGAAAUCUGUAGAUAUCAGGAAGAACACCGGCGGCGAAGGCGAGCUUCUAACCAUGAACUGACGCUGAGGUGCGAAAGCGUGGGGAGCGAACAGGAUUAGAUACCCUGGUAGUCCACGCUGUAAACGAUGUGCACUAGGUGUUGGCCCCG
RNAcentral lists this ribosomal RNA (829 nucleotides) under uncultured organism. RNAcentral describes it as "bacterial SSU rRNA". It matches the Rfam family "Bacterial small subunit ribosomal RNA", at positions 16 to 831 of the family's 1533-position model. The record is from RNAcentral.